UACUCCCUCCUUCUCCUGCUGCCACGUCAGAAAUUUGGUGAUCCUAAGGGUAACACGUGUCCCACUCCGUUGAAACGCACCGUCUCAUUUACGAAAGAGUUAAUUUGUUUGGAUUUUGUUUGGGCUUGACGUGUUUAAUUGCAAUCUUUUUAUCUGGGCUUAAGACUUUGUUUAGUGGGCUAAUGGAAAUCAAUCUCCAAGUCACUCUUCGCUUCAACAAUUGCGACAUUUGAUUUCUAGGGUUCAUACUGAUAUUCAAGGAUUAGGUGACACGUGUCCCUCUCCAUUAAUGGUUGUAGCAGCCGAAGAAAAUCAGUCCGAGUAACGUUGGACAAUUGUUUACGGCCAAACCCUGUUGGAAUCUGCAUGUGUCUAAUCGAAUCGUCUUCUCCUUACCGGCGGACGAACUACAAAAACGUUAUGGAAGUAGGCAACCUUCAAUCUUCGUCAUUAAUGCCCUCAUUAACAAUACCUCCCCACUACUCACACGACUUUUUACUCAAUACGUCCCUUUUUUUAUUCCCUUCAUUGAAUCUACAGCUAUAAAUGUAAGAGUUUAUUUUGGUGAAAAUCAUCAGUUCUUUACUCUCAAUCGUUACCAAACUUUCAGAAAUGAGAAUAUCAAACUUCUCUCCCAUGUUCUCCGAUCUGAGAGCCGGUCGUUCUAGCACCACCGUCGAGAUUUUGCCUGUUGGGAUUUUGGGAGUCGAGAUCUCUCCCUCUGUUAUGUCGUGUUUUGUUUUCUUCUCUAUAUAACAAUCUCACCGCUUGGAAGUUUUUAACUUUUGUGGUUGAGUUGAACAUUUGACUUGCUGAGACGAAGUAUGUGUGGUGAUUGGUGAACGAAGAUAUUAUUUUUAACAGGUUCCAUAUCAAAGAUUAUGUCAUAGGAUUUGAGGAUCUUGAAACUGUGUGCAAGUCGGAACCGCGUAAGUAUCAGUUCACAAUCCACUUGCAUGAGUUUAUUAAGUAACUACUUCUUCAAUGACUUUGACAGCGUGGUAGCAGUAUUAGGAUCUGGAUUUGGUUAAUCUAUGGUGAGCCAAGGCUUGCAAGGACAACCACUAAAUGCAGUCACCACUGCUGCUGGUUUUGCUAUCUUCCAAGCAAUAUUUUUCAAAGGGAGAUAUUAUUCUUUACUUUCUCACCGCUAUAUAUAUAUAUAAGGUUUCUUUCGUGUUGUAACUAAGACUGAUGUCUUGAUGCUUUUUGAAAUAUGAAUGAAGAGUGGUAAUAGAUGUGAGCAUCCCACCAGGGACAAGGUUUCUGAUGCUAGACCAUAUCCACAGGUUUGAAAUAAACUUCUAUGCUCUUGCAUUGAUGAAAGACUGAAUGUAUUAAAAAAAUACAAAGUGGAUUGAACCAUUCUCUGUUGUUUUGAGUGCAAGAUCCCGAAGUUAAACGGGCAAACGAGGAAAGGAUUUUUUUUUCUUUUCCUAAACACAGAAAUACUAAUCAGCUAUAGCUUUACAUCGGGUAUGAGAGUAUGGAAAAUGUAACUCUUAAGGACCAUCUGUAGGCGUCGGAUAACCCUAGGUUGAACAGGAGGCAGAGACUUGAGAUAUAUGUUGGUGUAUCUAGAGGGCUUUACUAUCCUCAUACAGAUUUUGCAAUAGCCAUCAACACACAGCAAUGUGAAGUCUGCUAACGUUCACUUGGAUGAGAAUUUCAUGUCAAAGUUGCAGACUUUCUAUCGCCUAAGACUGGUCCAGAUCUUGACCAGUCUUAUCCAAGUUGACACCUCUAUGCGGGAGACCAGUCAUUGGUCCAUCUCUUCCGAGAGAGAAACUGAAUUUCAUUUGAAUGGGCGACGAAGUUGGUGAAGAAAGGGAAAAAGGGAUCAAGGACAAUUUUCUUGAUGAGAAGUGAAGCUUGAAGAGGUUAAGAAGCAGAGGCGGACCCACGUUGGAUAAAGGGGUUGCACCUGCCACAGGUUAAAAUUAUAUAUUAGCAAGUCUAUACCACGUAUUGUGAGUUAUCAGAGAAGUGUUUGUUGCAAGCCCGUACCGGUUUUCAGACUCCAUCAUCUAAAACAACUGGAUCAGUGAAAAAAGUCGUUCAUGUGUUGUUAAUCUUUUUUUUUUUUCUUUCAACUCUGUGUUGUUAAUCUGAAUAGGGUUUUGAUCCUCAAUAGCAUAUUUUUCAUGUAAACUAAUGAUCCAAAUGGAUUUAUUUAGAUUAUAUUUGUACUUUUGAGAGCUAGAGAAACGAAUUUCACACAAGUAAUUUUGUGAAAUGAAUAUACAGAGUUCCUUAUGUCUUAAGAAAGUUGGGAUUAGAUUUUUGUAAGACGUGUACUAAAAGAUUCAACAAAUUACAGCUCAUUUACUUUUAUUUUUUCUAUAUAUUUAUUUGCAUAUAAGUUCUUUGGUGAUUUGUUACUUUUAAAAUUUUCACUACAUUGAAGUAACCCAGGUGUUUGAGGUGGGGAUUAGGCUAUGUAUAGCUCUACCAUGGUGCAAUUAAAGCAUGGAUUGGACUUGGAGGGAGAAUGAGAGAACAAGGUUGUAUAGUCACAAUGGUGUCCAUUAGUGAGAAUGGAAACGGAGAUAUAGCAGGGGUUCCAAUGACUAAAGUCUUCACGCAAAUGGUUGAGAGGGAAAAUGUGAUAAAAUAUCUAUUAGAAUGUCUAAUUAAAAUAAUUUUUUUGACAAAAUGUCUAAUUAAAAUAAUUCUAACAAUGAAGGUGAAGAAACCAAAAUUUUACAACAACCACAAACGGGAGAAAUAUUCUUCUGGACCACUUAUUCAAGAAGCGUUCAAAUUUUACUUCAUAAAUGAAGUAAUCUAUUUUUUGUUUGUUCAUCACUCUAUUAUGGAAUGAGAAAUGAAGUAGGAUUGGAGUAAUUUUACUUCAUUUUCAUUUUUACUCCAUUUUAGAGGAAAAAAUGGAGUUUUACAUUGGAGAUGCUCUAAUAAGAGUAAAUGUUAUUUUGAAAAUAAAAUAAAUAUUUAAACUCUCAAUCCAAAUUCCUAAACCUUAAACUCUAGACCUAAAACACUUAACCCCAAACCUUAACACAAUGAACUCUAAAGCACUAAAAAUUAAAUUUUAGGCUUCGACUGGUGACACGUAGUAUUAGAGUUGAGUUACAAUAAAAUGUACGAUUUGAUGUAACUUGUAGUAAAAACUAUGUGGUAGAAACUGUAGAUUUAUGUGGUGAGUUCGCAGUAAAAAUGUGAGUUAUUAUUUUAUUAAUAUUAUUUGAUUGGUAACAUUUUUGAUGUAUAAGUCGCAGUAUAUAUUAUUUUAAAAUAUAAAUAAUA
Molecule: long non-coding RNA, 3267 nt
Organism: Brassica rapa (field mustard)
Lineage: Eukaryota; Viridiplantae; Streptophyta; Magnoliopsida; Brassicales; Brassicaceae
Source: RefSeq, a predicted model, not a curated record